UACGAAGGUGGCAAGCGUUGUUCGGAUUCACUGGGCGUACAGGGAGCGUAGGCGGUUGGGUAAGCCCUCCGUGAAAUCUCCGGGCCUAACCCGGAAAGUGCAGAGGGGACUGCUCGGCUUGAGGACGGGAGAGGAGCGCGGAAUUCCACGUGUAGCGGUGAAAUGCGUAGAGAUGUGGAGGAACACCAAUGGCGAAGGCAGCCUUCUGGGCCAACACUGACGCUCAUGCACGAAAGCGUGGGGAGCAAACAGG
This 253-nucleotide ribosomal RNA is filed under the name uncultured bacterium. RNAcentral's name for it is "partial 16S ribosomal RNA". It matches the Rfam family "Bacterial small subunit ribosomal RNA", at positions 524 to 776 of the family's 1533-position model. The record is from RNAcentral.